Molecule: ribosomal RNA, 497 nt
Filed under: uncultured bacterium
Lineage: Bacteria
Description: partial 16S ribosomal RNA
Rfam family: Bacterial small subunit ribosomal RNA
Source: RNAcentral
GAUGAACGCUGGCGGCGUGCCUAAUACAUGCAAGUCGAGCGAACGGACGAGAAGCUUGCUUCUCUGAUGUUAGCGGCGGACGGGUGAGUAACACGUGGAUAACCUACCUAUAAGACUGGGAUAACUUCGGGAAACCGGAGCUAAUACCGGAUGAUAUUUUGAACCGCAUGGUUCAAAAGUGAAAGACGGUCUUGCUGUCACUUAUAGAUGGAUCCGCGCUGCAUUAGCUAGUUGGUAAGGUAACGGCUUACCAAGGCAACGAUGCAUAGCCGACCUGAGAGGGUGAUCGGCCACACUGGAACUGAGACACGGUCCAGACUCCUACGAGGGGCAGCAGUAGGGAAUCUUCCGCAAUUGGCGAAAGCCUGACGGAGCAACGCCGCGUGAGAGAUGAAGGUCUUCGGAUCGUAAAACUCUGUUAUUAGGGAAGAACAUAUGUGUAAGUAACUGUGCACAUCUUGACGGUACCUAAUCAGAAAGCCACGGCUAACUACGUG